This 253-nucleotide ribosomal RNA is filed under the name uncultured bacterium. RNAcentral's name for it is "partial 16S ribosomal RNA". It matches the Rfam family "Bacterial small subunit ribosomal RNA", at positions 524 to 776 of the family's 1533-position model. The record is from RNAcentral.
UACAGAGGGGGCAAGCGUUAUUCGGAAUUAUUGGGCGUAAAGGGCGCGUAGGCGGCUUGGCAAGUGGAAGGUGAAAUCCCUCGGCUUAACCGAGGAACUGCCUUCCAGACUGCUUUGCUUGAGGCCGGGAGAGGUGAGUGGAAUUCCCAGUGUAGCGGUGAAAUGCGUAGAUAUUGGGAGGAACACCAGUGGCGAAGGCGGGUCUCUGGACAGUUCCUGACACUGAGGCACGAAGGCCAGGGGAGCAAACGGG